GAUGAACGCUGGCGGCGUGCCUAAUACAUGCAAGUCGAGCGAACGGACGAGAAGCUUGCUUCUCUGAUGUUAGCGGCGGACGGGUGUGUAACACGUGGAUAACCCACUUAUAAGACUGGGAUCAUUUCGGGAAACCGGAGCUAAUCCCGGAUAAUAUUUUGAACCGCAUGGUUCAAAAGAGAAAGACGGUCUUGCUGUCUCUUAUAGCUGGAUCCGCGCUGCAUUAGCUAGUUGGUAAGGUCACGGCUUACCAAGGCAACUAUGCAUAGCCGACCUGAGAGAGUGAUCGGCCACACUGGAACUGGAACGCGGUCCAGACGCCUACGGGAGGCAGCAGUAGGGAAUCGGCCGCAAUGGGCGAAAGCCUGACGGAGCAAGGGCGCGUGAGUGAUGAAGGUCUUCGGAUCGUAAAGCUCGGUUAUUGGGGAAGAACAGAUGUGUAAGGAGCUGUGGACAGCUUGACGGUACCUAAUCAGGAAGCAACGGCUAACUACGUG
This 497-nucleotide ribosomal RNA is filed under the name uncultured bacterium. RNAcentral describes it as "partial 16S ribosomal RNA". It matches the Rfam family "Bacterial small subunit ribosomal RNA", at positions 28 to 507 of the family's 1533-position model. The record is from RNAcentral.